RNAcentral lists this transfer RNA (74 nucleotides) under Borreliella burgdorferi (Lyme disease spirochete). RNAcentral's name for it is "tRNA-Val(tac)". It matches the Rfam family "tRNA". From Rfam's summary of the family: Transfer RNA (tRNA) molecules are approximately 80 nucleotides in length. Their secondary structure includes four short double-helical elements and three loops (D, anti-codon, and T loops). Lineage: Bacteria; Pseudomonadati; Spirochaetota; Spirochaetia; Spirochaetales; Borreliaceae. The record is from RNAcentral. RNAcentral also lists the same sequence under 38 other names.
GGGCUCAUAGCUCAGUUGGUCAGAGCGCCUGCCUUACAAGCAGGAUGUCGGGAGUUCGAAUCUCUCUGGGCCCA